AACCAACGUGGUAAUGCUGGCAUAAUAAUUCCCGGUUGCCAUUUUCUGACAUUUGAAAAGAUCUGAAGAUACGCCCCUUGGAUGCCUGCAGAGAAGCUCUGGGGCUUCAGUCAAUGACUCAGGGUAGCCACCGAACAUGAUGCUCGGGCAGUGGGUGCCACCUGGACUCCACUCUCCCCUCUCUCUGGGAUCAUAGAGUCCAAGGUGUUCUGUGGCCUCUCGGCCAAUCCCAGCAGCUCAGCGUGCAGAAGACCGAGGAGCCAUUGGUCAGUGUAGGAGGUGCCUGGAGUUUUGGAGAUGGGAUCCACAGGAAUUCAACACAACACGAAAUAAUCAACAAAUUCGGGGAAUGUUAAUCUGACCAUCACCAGUUACAAAUGAUGUUUCAUGCUACCUUCUAUUCCUGCCUUCAUAAAUCAAGGAAAAGAAAAAGAGAACAUAUAUCCCCCUACCUUUUGAUUUCCAACAGUCUACUGAGAGGCCAAGAUUAUUUGCAGGGAAAGAAAAGGGGUCAAAAUGUUUUGCCAGUAACUCCCAAAUCAUCUACAGCCAAGGAGAAAAGUGUUUCAAGACAGAGGUGCUCAAUGGUAUCAAAUACUGCCAACAGACCAAGUAAUACAUGCAUUGAAGUGUCUACUGGAUCUAGCUAUAUGAAUUUUUAAUUUAGGACACUUAGGCCAUACUGAAGCAAGGUGACAAAAUGAAUAGCUACAAUGUCUCGUGAAUCUUGGGUUUCCAUUCACCCUGGUAUUCAAGAGAAAUUCUUGCAUCAUGGAAGUUGCAGUUGGAUAGGACUUUCUCAGCUGAACACUGUCAUCUGCCAGAGCUUCAGGCAAGAACCCAGAACAGAUGAAACCCCAGACAUGACAAAAUAAGCCAAAGAAUACCAGGCCAAGGUGUGAAAGGCCAGAUGAGAACAAGCAGCGUACACGAUUCUGUUGCCAACAGAUCUCCCCUAACAGUGUCGUGCACCAAAUUUCCACAGUGAAUGUCAGGAAAAAAUGGCAAUUGAGGUGGGUGGUCAAAAGAGAAGCACAGUCUAUGAUGAAGUCACCCCAGAGAAGUCCUUUUUCCGUUUUCUCCUGAGAAAUUACCAGAAGAAAUUAAAAUCCUUUUGAGUAUUGCAUUUAUCUCUGCAGUAACAUUAUUUUUUCUUAAGGAAUCUCUAUCAAAUUUGCAUCUUGUCUAAUUUAGCAGGGAAUGUCACCAGGAUAAGACAACUGCAAAACCCAUUUGGGUGUGCCAAAUGACUUCAACCGAACCUCCAUGCAAACAACAUACAAGAUGCUUUCUUACUAAAUGCUCAAACAUCAAGUUCUACAUCCAGAACUGCCCCUCAACCCUCACCCUCUCGAACUCAGUAAAAAACAACCCUCUUUCUAGCUCUGCAUUUCCAAUGAAUGCCUCUUCCUCCAGACAUCCCUAGUUUUUGUUCAUGAUACUAGGACAUUCCUAAACUGGAAAUGUGAGAAUCAUGUGGACUGCUCGCUCCCUCCUUCAUUGCCUGAGUUUAAGCAAAUAAUAUUGAUUAGUUUUCCCCAA
Molecule: long non-coding RNA, 1542 nt
Filed under: Homo sapiens (human)
Lineage: Eukaryota; Metazoa; Chordata; Mammalia; Primates; Hominidae
Description: long intergenic non-protein coding RNA 710
Source: RNAcentral